CUACGAAAACCCAUAUAAAUUGGCGGUUAAAAUCAAUUAGAGGAACUCGCUUCAUAAUCGUCAAUCCCCGUUAAUUUUCACUUGCUUUAACUAUUAAAGCUUAUAUACCGCCGUUCCAGAAAAGACAAAAAAUCCAAUUCUUAAUAGACAUUAUCUAAAAAAUCAGGUCAAGGUGUAGCCCAUAAGCAAGAAGAAGUAAGUUACAAUAAAAACAAUUUAAGGAACAAUUCCUAAAGGAAAAGAGAAAAGGAAUCUAAAAAUACAUACUAAUUAAAAUUU
RNAcentral lists this ribosomal RNA (279 nucleotides) under Papiamenta sp. MRAC639. RNAcentral's name for it is "partial 12S ribosomal RNA". The record is from RNAcentral. Lineage: Eukaryota; Metazoa; Arthropoda; Arachnida; Araneae; Pholcidae.